AACGAACGCUGGUGGCAUGCCUAAUACAUGCAAGUCGAACGAGAAAGCACUUCGGUGUGAGUACAGUGGCGCACGGGUGAGUAACGCGUAGGUGAUAUGCCUUUUAGUGGGGGACAACAUCGUGAAAACGGUGCUAAUACCGCAUAAGCUGUUUACAUUGAAAAAAAACAGGAAAGGGGGCUUCGGCUCUCGCUAAGAGAUUGGCCUGCGUGACAUUAGCUUGAUGGUGGGGUAACAGCCUACCAUGGCGACGAUGUCUAGCUGGUCUGAGAGGAUGAUCAGUCACACUGGAACUGAGACACGGUCCAGACUCCUACGGGAGGCAGCAGUAGGGAAUAUUGCACAAUGGGGGAAACCCUGAUGCAGCAAUGCCACGUGAGUGAGGAAGGUCUUCGGAUUGUAAAGCUCUGUCCUAUAGGAAGAACGGUAUUAUGGUUAAUACCCAUAGUAUUUGACGGUACUAUAGAAGAAAGCACCGGCUAACUCCG
This 488-nucleotide ribosomal RNA is filed under the name uncultured Bacteriovoracaceae bacterium. RNAcentral describes it as "bacterial SSU rRNA". It matches the Rfam family "Bacterial small subunit ribosomal RNA", at positions 29 to 505 of the family's 1533-position model. The record is from RNAcentral. Lineage: Bacteria; Pseudomonadati; Bdellovibrionota; Bacteriovoracia; Bacteriovoracales; Bacteriovoracaceae.